RNAcentral lists this ribosomal RNA (457 nucleotides) under uncultured bacterium. Its description in RNAcentral is "bacterial SSU rRNA". It matches the Rfam family "Bacterial small subunit ribosomal RNA", at positions 340 to 786 of the family's 1533-position model. The record is from RNAcentral.
UACGGGAGGCAGCAGUAGGGAAUCUUCCGCAAUGGACGAAAGUCUGACGGAGCAACGCCGCGUGAACGAUGAAGGCUUUCGGGUCGUAAAGUUCUGUUGUUAGGGAGAACAAGUACCAGAGUAACUGCUGGUACCUUGACGGUACCUAACCAGAAAGCCACGGCUAACUACGUGCCAGCAGCCGCGGUAAUACGUAGGUGGCAAGCGUUGUCCGGAAUUAUUGGGCGUAAAGCGCGCGCAGGUGGUCCUUUAAGUCUGAUGUGAAAGCCCACGGCUCAACCGUGGAGGGUCAUUGGAAACUGGGGGACUUGAGUGCAGAAGAGGAAAGUGGAAUUCCACGUGUAGCGGUGAAAUGCGUAGAGAUGUGGAGGAACACCAGUGGCGAAGGCGACUUUUCUGGUCUGUAACUGGACACUGAGGCGCGAAAGCGUGGGGAGCGAACAGGGAUUAGGAUACC